Molecule: RNA transcript, 3011 nt
Organism: Panicum virgatum (switchgrass)
Lineage: Eukaryota; Viridiplantae; Streptophyta; Magnoliopsida; Poales; Poaceae
Gene name: mitochondrial amidoxime reducing component 2-like
Exons: 7
Source: RefSeq, a predicted model, not a curated record
CUCCCCCCUCUCUCUCUCCUCUCCCCCCUUUCCCCGCCGCUGCCGCCUCCGACACCGCACCGCCCGUCGCCGCUACCCUCGUCGAGCUAGAGCUGCCUCUGCGGGCUUCCCCUGUUGGUGCCCGACUCCCUCACCUUCCUCGCGUCCUCAGGGCCCGAGGGCGCGGCGCGGUGACUGCGGCCCGCGGUCCUAGCGCGCCCCCGCCGCAGCCGUCCCCUACCUCGCCGCCGGCAACGAGGUGCUGACAUUAUCAUCAUCACCGUCAUCGUGUCUUGGUGCGUCGACAUUGCCUCCGCCGGGAGCGACGCUGUCGUUGACUUGCUUCUUGACAGCUCAUGUGGGGGAUCACACGGGCAGCCUAGGCCCGCGUCUCUGGUGAUUGAUUCCUAGGUAGUGGCCACGGCCUCGUGUUGCCUGCUCCAAUUCGCCUUCUUGUACCAAUCCACGCAUAACAAGAACGUGAUGCCAGGUCCUAACGUUUCUUCUCUUGUUUGGAUUUGGCUAGUUGCCGUAAUUUAGUUUGGGGAAAACUUUGCAAUAGUCAAAUUCCACGGAAUUCUUGAUUAUGUGCUGCACUUGCCUCUUAUCAAGAUAAUUUCUAGCAGUGAAGCAUGAUUCUCUUAUGUCAUGUAGUAGUAUUUAGAUGUUAAGAUGCUGUGUGAAUAAAAGCUAGGACCCGAGCUUACAAGUGGAAAAAAAGAUCAUACUCAUGUUUUGCAGUACUAGGAUGUCAAUGUCAUGUCAUAGUAUGUGCUGAAUUUGAGCGUUCCUUGUUUUUAACCUUUUAUUGUUGAAUGGGUUAUAGAAUGGAACCUAUUUCAAUGGGUUUCUUUUUUAGUGCCGAAAUUUAUAUUGAUUCCACUUGAUUGAUUGGUAAAGCUUCUUGCUGGGAGUUCUUUUUUAGGAAUAUAGAGGAAAGGUAUAGACGGGUAGCCUGAUGGGAUUUCUUCCUUGGGAGUCAUAGGAACUGGUAGCAAAUGAGAGCUCAUCUAUUUGGAUGACCAGCCACCACCACAGCUUCUCUGCCACCUUUCAGGUAAACCCUGAUAUGGUUCCAGAGUAUAAAUCAAAUAUGGUACAAAGGCAUUUCAUCUCAGCUAGGAGACACAUCAUAAGGUUUAUUAUUAAAUUUGCUUCUUGCCAAUCUAUACUGUUGAUUGAACAUUGUGUCACAUGGAGAACCAAUCUAGACCAACCGAUCAAGAUUAUGCCCAAGGUUACAAGAUCAUGUUUACAGAUUGCUUCACGUUUCUGAUAGCCUCUCAGGACUCACUGGAUGCACUAAAUGAGAUUCUUAAAGAACAUGUACCAAUGAACCAUUUCAGACCAAAUAUUUUAGUGGAUGGAUGCCAACCAUAUUCGGAGGACCCAUGGAAAAUCAUAAAGAUAAACAACCUAAUAUUUUAAGGCGUGAAGCUAUGCAACCAUUGCAAGGUAAGAUACUGUCACUAAUACUCUCCUAGCUUUAAUUUGAAAUUGAUUAUGCAGUUUACUUCAGCACUUGAUUAGUGUAAUUAUUCAGUCAGUUUAUGUCUUUCAAGAGCCCAAUAUGCUAGACAUUGUUGUAAUGACUAAUGCACGAACAAAUGAGGUGAUGGUGACUGCCAAUAUUCAUUCGGUUCUUUUUAGAAAAUAUAUCAUUGCCACGUGUAAACAUUAACUUUAAAUAUAAAAUUCGUAUUCAUGAUUUUUUUUUUAAACAUGUGCGCGCUCUACGGUGACCGGUCCUACGUGCCGAGCCUCGUCCUCUCCAUGCGGUACCUGCACGGCACGCUCGCCGCAAUGGAGUUCCAGGGGAGCGUCAAGGUCUCCUCCGCGCAUGCCUCUUCCGUGCUUGCGAUGCCGCCGGCCCUCGGGGUGCCGUCGCCCUCAAGCUUGCCGCUCCUCGUCGCCGCAGCCCGCUUCCCGCUGAGUCUGCACAGCGUGUUGUUAGGCGACGACGCGGCGGGCUCCUCGUCCUCGCAGCUGCCCAUCCGGGCCUCCCCGGCCGUGGUUCACGUCGAACCCGCGUACGAAUGGCAUCUCGUUGCAGGGACACGCCGUCGCCGUCUCCCAGUUCCACAUCGGUAACCGGCUGCAUUGCCUGCCGCCGGCAUUGUAGCAGGUCAGCUCCACGCUGCCUUCCCUUAUCUUUCCUUGUGGAUUUUGCUCUCUAUAUUGCCAGGAUCUGGUGGGCUAAUAUUCGCUUCGUUAGGGAAUCAGUUAGCAACUGAAAAGGAGGAUCUUUUUCAGAUGUUUGGUAACUCCCACGGUCACUAUUUUGCUAAUGGUGCAUAAGUUCUUCAUAUGAGAGAGAGAAAUAAAGAGACGGUACAUAUUGACAGAAAUGCAGCUUCUAGGGCCUGUCGGAAGGGCAGGUAAUAUAUUGAGAAAUUGAAAACAAAAAGGAUGAACUGCUAUCAGGAAACUGGUAUGCACUAAUAAUUCUUAUGUUUCUCAUUGAUCGGGCUACCGUGCAUCAAGUUACUUCUAGCAGUUUUUGCUGACUGCAAAUGCAGACUAUUUGCACGAUCAGUUAAAUAUACGUUGAUGCAAACAUGACCAAAUUCAAGUGGCAGACAUGACCCUACCGGAUAAGGCCGGUGUAAUUCUGAUUGCUUAAUAUACUAUUAACACAACAAUUCCUUACCAUGCGUCACUACCCAAACAACAUUGUAAGACAAAACAGGCAUAACAACAUAAAAAAACAAUUACACUACCAACAUUUGCACUAAACUGACGUAAGCAUUUUUCAUUUUUUUUUAAAGGCAAUUUCCUCUUUAACACCGCAUUAAUGGUGCGCCCCAGACUCUAGUAUAAAUUAACUAUCAUACAACAAUUUGGAAUGACUACACACCUGGCUUCCGCGUCAAAACUUUAAGCCAAAAGUGUCACAAAGGGACGAUCAACUUUCAGAUUUCUUUUCAUCUGCAAAAUUACUUGAGGGGAAACCGAACAGCUAGCAUCUACUCCUGACGUGCUCAUUUUGUCAGUGCUCAUUUCUCGACCCCUAAGAGUAAAGCUAAUUUGGC